RNAcentral lists this ribosomal RNA (478 nucleotides) under uncultured bacterium. RNAcentral describes it as "partial 16S ribosomal RNA". It matches the Rfam family "Bacterial small subunit ribosomal RNA", at positions 28 to 507 of the family's 1533-position model. The record is from RNAcentral.
GAUGAACGCUGGCGGCGUGCUUAACACAUGCAAGUCGAACGGGAAUUAUUUUAUUGCAACUUCGGUCGAUUUAAUUUAAUUCUAGUGGCGGACGGGUGAGUAACGCUUGGGUAACCUGCCUUAUACAGGGGGAUAACAGUCAGAAAUGGCUGCUAAUACCGCAUCAGCGCACAGAGCUGCAUGUCUCAGUGUGCAAAACUCCGGUGGUAUAAGAUGGACCCGCGUUGGAUUAGCUGGUUGGUGGGGUAACGGCCCACCAAGGCGACGAUCCAUAGCCGGUCUGAGAGGGUGAACGGCCACAUUGGGACUGAGACACGGCCCAGACUCCUACGGGAGGCAGCAGUGGGGAAUAUUGCACAAUGGGGGAAAGCCUGAUGCAGCGACGCCGCGUGAAGGAAGAAGUAUCUCGGGAUGUAAAGUUCUAUCAGCAGGGAAGAUAGUGACGGUACCUGAGGAAGAAGCCCCGGCUAACUACGUG